AGAGUUUGAUCCUGGCUCAGAAUCAACGCUGGCGGCGUGCCUAACACAUGCAAGUCGAACGAGAAAGUGGAGCAAUCCAUGAGUAAAGUGGCGCACGGGUGAGUAACACGUGACUAACCUACCCUUGAGUGGGGGAUAACUUCGGGAAACCGAGGCUAAUACCGCAUAACACCUACGGGUCAAAGGAGCAAUUCGCUCGAGGAGGGGGUCGCGGCCGAUUAGUUAGUUGGCAGGGUAAUGGCCUACCAAGACGAUGAUCGGUAUCCGGCCUGAGAGGGCGCACGGACACACUGGAACUGAAACACGGUCCAGACUCCUACGGGAGGCAGCAGUGGGGAAUUUUGCGCAAUGGGGGAAACCCUGACGCAGCAACGCCGCGUGGAGGAUGAAGUCCUUCGGGACGUAAACUCCUUUCGACCGGGACGAUUAUGACGGUACCGGAAGAAGAAGCCCCGGCUAACUUCGUGCCAGCAGCCGCGGUAAUACGAGGGGGGCGAGCGUUGUUCGGAAUUAUUGGGCGUAAAGGGUGCGUAGGCGGUUUGGUAAGUCUGAUGUGAAAUCUAUGGGCUCAACUCAUAGUCUGCAUUAGAAACUGCCGGGCUUGAGUAUGGGAGAGGUGAGUGGAAUUCCUGGUGUAGCGGUGAAAUGCGUAGAUAUCAGGAGGAACACCUGUGGCGAAAGCGGCUCACUGGACCAUAACUGACGCUGAUGCACGAAAGCUAGGGGAGCAAACAGGAUUAGAUACCCCUGUAGUCC
This 756-nucleotide ribosomal RNA is filed under the name uncultured bacterium. RNAcentral's name for it is "bacterial SSU rRNA". It matches the Rfam family "Bacterial small subunit ribosomal RNA", at positions 8 to 796 of the family's 1533-position model. The record is from RNAcentral.